UACGUAGGGGGCAAGCGUUGUCCGGAAUCAUUGGGCGUAAAGCGCGUGUAGGCGGUUCGAUAAGUCUGCUGUGAAAGUCCAGGGCUCAACCCUGGGAUGCCGGUGGAUACUGUCGGACUAGAGUACGGAAGAGGCGAGUGGAAUUCCCGGUGUAGCGGUGAAAUGCGCAGAUAUCGGGAGGAACACCGGUGGCGAAGGCGGUUCUCUGGGCCUGUACUGGACGCUGAGGAGCGAAAGCGUGGGGAGCGAACAGGAUGAGAU
This 261-nucleotide ribosomal RNA is filed under the name uncultured bacterium. Its description in RNAcentral is "partial 16S ribosomal RNA". It matches the Rfam family "Bacterial small subunit ribosomal RNA", at positions 524 to 783 of the family's 1533-position model. The record is from RNAcentral.